Molecule: ribosomal RNA, 1020 nt
Filed under: Staphylococcus aureus
Lineage: Bacteria; Bacillati; Bacillota; Bacilli; Caryophanales; Staphylococcaceae
Description: bacterial SSU rRNA
Rfam family: Bacterial small subunit ribosomal RNA
Source: RNAcentral
UUUAUGGAGAGUUUGAUCCUGGCUCAGGAUGAACGCUGGCGGCGUGCCUAAUACAUGCAAGUCGAGCGAACGGACGAGAAGCUUGCUUCUCUGAUGUUAGCGGCGGACGGGUGAGUAACACGUGGAUAACCUACCUAUAAGACUGGGAUAACUUCGGGAAACCGGAGCUAAUACCGGAUAAUAUUUUGAACCGCAUGGUUCAAAAGUGAAAGACGGUCUUGCUGUCACUUAUAGAUGGAUCCGCGCUGCAUUAGCUAGUUGGUAAGGUAACGGCUUACCAAGGCAACGAUGCAUAGCCGACCUGAGAGGGUGAUCGGCCACACUGGAACUGAGACACGGUCCAGACUCCUACGGGAGGCAGCAGUAGGGAAUCUUCCGCAAUGGGCGAAAGCCUGACGGAGCAACGCCGCGUGAGUGAUGAAGGUCUUCGGAUCGUAAAACUCUGUUAUUAGGGAAGAACAUAUGUGUAAGUAACUGUGCACAUCUUGACGGUACCUAAUCAGAAAGCCACGGCUAACUACGUGCCAGCAGCCGCGGUAAUACGUAGGUGGCAAGCGUUAUCCGGAAUUAUUGGGCGUAAAGCGCGCGUAGGCGGUUUUUUAAGUCUGAUGUGAAAGCCCACGGCUCAACCGUGGAGGGUCAUUGGAAACUGGAAAACUUGAGUGCAGAAGAGGAAAGUGGAAUUCCAUGUGUAGCGGUGAAAUGCGCAGAGAUAUGGAGGAACACCAGUGGCGAAGGCGACUUUCUGGUCUGUAACUGACGCUGAUGUGCGAAAGCGUGGGGAUCAAACAGGAUUAGAUACCCUGGUAGUCCACGCCGUAAACGAUGAGUGCUAAGUGUUAGGGGGUUUCCGCCCCUUAGUGCUGCAGCUAACGCAUUAAGCACUCCGCCUGGGGAGUACGACCGCAAGGUUGAAACUCAAAGGAAUUGACGGGGACCCGCACAAGCGGUGGAGCAUGUGGUUUAAUUCGAAGCAACGCGAAGAACCUUACCAAAUCUUGACAUCCUUUGACAACUCUA